GAUGAAGAACGUAGCGAAAUGCGAUAAGUAGUGUGAAUUGCAGAAUUCAGUGAAUCAUCGAAUCUUUGAACGCACAUUGCGCCCCUUGGUAUUCCAUGGGGCAUGCCUGUUCGAGCGUCAUUUGUACCUUCAAGCUUUGCUUGGUGUUGGGUGUCUGUCUCGCCUUUGCGUGUAGACUCGCCUUAAAAUAAUUGGCAGCCGGCGUAUUGAUUUCGGAGCGCAGUACAUCUCGCGCUUUGCACUCAUAACGACAGCGUCCAAAAGUACAUUUUACACUCUUGACCUCGGAUCAGGUAGGGAUACCCGCUGAACUUAAGCAUAUCAAUAAGCGGAGGA
This 336-nucleotide unclassified non-coding RNA is filed under the name soil metagenome. RNAcentral's name for it is "partial contains 5.8S ribosomal RNA, internal transcribed spacer 2, and large subunit ribosomal RNA". The stretch from base 1 to 120 matches the Rfam family "5.8S ribosomal RNA", at positions 35 to 154 of the family's 154-position model. The record is from RNAcentral.